UUUCUACUCCCUCCGUUCCGAAUUACUUGUCCUAGAUAUGGAUGUAUCUAGAUGUAUUUUAGUUCUAGAUACAUCCAAUCCUGCGACGAGUAAUUUGAAACAGAGGGAGUACCCC
Non-coding RNA from Triticum urartu, 115 nucleotides. The record is from Rfam. Lineage: Eukaryota; Viridiplantae; Streptophyta; Magnoliopsida; Poales; Poaceae.